RNAcentral lists this transfer RNA (74 nucleotides) under Sus scrofa (pig). It matches the Rfam family "tRNA". From Rfam's summary of the family: Transfer RNA (tRNA) molecules are approximately 80 nucleotides in length. Their secondary structure includes four short double-helical elements and three loops (D, anti-codon, and T loops). The record is from Rfam by way of RNAcentral. Lineage: Eukaryota; Metazoa; Chordata; Mammalia; Artiodactyla; Suidae.
UCCCUGGUGGCCUAGUGGCUUAAGGAUCUGGCAUUAUCACUGCUAUGGCACAGGUUCGAUCCCUGGCCUGGGAA